GCGAUACCCGAAUGGGGAAACCCAGUGUGACUCGUCACACUAUCAUUAACUGAAUCCAUAGGUUAAUGAGGCGAACCGGGGGAACUGAAACAUCUAAGUACCCCGAGGAAAAGAAAUCAACCGAGAUUCCCCCAGUAGCGGCGAGCGAACGGGGAGGAGCCCAGAGCCUGAAUCAGCAUGUGUGUUAGUGGAAGCGUCUGGAAAGGCGCGCGAUACAGGGUGACAGCCCCGUACACAAAAGCGCAUGUGCUGUGAGCUCGAUGAGUAGGGCGGGACACGUGGUAUCCUGUCUGAAUAUGGGGGGACCAUCCUCCAAGGCUAAAUACUCCUGACUGACCGAUAGUGAACCAGUACCGUGAGGGAAAGGCGAAAAGAACCCCGGCGAGGGGAGUGAAAAAGAACCUGAAACCGUGUACGUACAAGCAGUGGGAGCACAGGUUUACCUGUGUGACUGCGUACCUUUUGUAUAAUGGGUCAGCGACUUAUAUUCUGUAGCAAGGUUAACCGUAUAGGGGAGCCGUAGGGAAACCGAGUCUUAACCGGGCGUUAAGUUGCAGGGUAUAGACCCGAAACCCGGUGAUCUAGCCAUGGGCAGGUUGAAGGUUGGGUAACACUAACUGGAGGACCGAACCGACUAAUGUUGAAAAAUUAGCGGAUGACCUGUGGCUGGGGGUGAAAGGCCAAUCAAACCGGGAGAUAGCUGGUUCUCCCCGAAAGCUAUUUAGGUAGCGCCUCGUGAAUUCAUCUCCGGGGGUAGAGCACUGUUUCGGCUAGGGGGCCAUCCCGGCUUACCAACCCGAUGCAAACUGCGAAUACCGGAGAAUGUUAUCACGGGAGACACACGGCGGGUGCUAACGUCCGUCGUGAAGAGGGAAACAACCCAGACCGCCAGCUAAGGUCCCAAAGUCAUGGUUAAGUGGGAAACGAUGUGGGAAGGCCCAGACAGCCAGGAUGUUGGCUUAGAAGCAGCCAUCAUUUAAAGAAAGCGUAAUAGCUCACUGGUCGAGUCGGCCUGCGCGGAAGAUGUAACGGGGCUAAACCAUGCACCGAAGCUGCGGCAGCGACGCUGAUGCGUUGUUGGGUAGGGGAGCGUUCUGUAAGCCUGUGAAGGUGGCCUGUGAGGGUUGCUGGAGGUAUCAGAAGUGCGAAUGCUGACAUAAGUAACGAUAAAGCGGGUGAAAAGCCCGCUCGCCGGAAGACCAAGGGUUCCUGUCCAACGUUAAUCGGGGCAGGGUGAGUCGACCCCUAAGGCGAGGCCGAAAGGCGUAGUCGAUGGGAAACGGGUUAAUAUUCCCGUACUUGGUGUUACUGCGAAGGGGGGACGGAGAAGGCUAUGUUGGCCGGGCGACGGUUGUCCCGGUUUAAGCGUGUAGGUGUGUGUUCCAGGUAAAUCCGGUUCACUUUAACACUGAGGCGUGAUGACGAGGCACUACGGUGCUGAAGCAACAAAUGCCCUGCUUCCAGGAAAAGCCUCUAAGCAUCAGGUAACAUCAAAUCGUACCCCAAACCGACACAGGUGGUCAGGUAGAGAAUACCAAGGCGCUUGAGAGAACUCGGGUGAAGGAACUAGGCAAAAUGGUGCCGUAACUUCGGGAGAAGGCACGCUGACACGUAGGUGAAGUGAUUUACUCAUGGAGCUGAAGUCAGUCGAAGAUACCAGCUGGCUGCAACUGUUUAUUAAAAACACAGCACUGUGCAAACACGAAAGUGGACGUAUACGGUGUGACGCCUGCCCGGUGCCGGAAGGUUAAUUGAUGGGGUCAGCGCAAGCGAAGCUCCUGAUCGAAGCCCCGGUAAACGGCGGCCGUAACUAUAACGGUCCUAAGGUAGCGAAAUUCCUUGUCGGGUAAGUUCCGACCUGCACGAAUGGCGUAAUGAUGGCCAGGCUGUCUCCACCCGAGACUCAGUGAAAUUGAACUCGCUGUGAAGAUGCAGUGUACCCGCGGCAAGACGGAAAGACCCCGUGAACCUUUACUAUAGCUUGACACUGAACAUUGAGCCUUGAUGUGUAGGAUAGGUGGGAGGCUUUGAAGCGUGGACGCCAGUCUGCAUGGAGCCGGCCUUGAAAUACCACCCUUUAAUGUUUGAUGUUCUAACGUGGACCCGUGAUCCGGGUUGCGGACAGUGUCUGGUGGGUAGUUUGACUGGGGCGGUCUCCUCCUAAAGAGUAACGGAGGAGCACGAAGGUUGGCUAAUCCUGGUCGGACAUCAGGAGGUUAGUGCAAUGGCAUAAGCCAGCUUGACUGCGAGCGUGACGGCGCGAGCAGGUGCGAAAGCAGGUCAUAGUGAUCCGGUGGUUCUGAAUGGAAGGGCCAUCGCUCAACGGAUAAAAGGUACUCCGGGGAUAACAGGCUGAUACCGCCCAAGAGUUCAUAUCGACGGCGGUGUUUGGCACCUCGAUGUCGGCUCAUCACAUCCUGGGGCUGAAGUAGGUCCCAAGGGUAUGGCUGUUCGCCAUUUAAAGUGGUACGCGAGCUGGGUUUAGAACGUCGUGAGACAGUUCGGUCCCUAUCUGCCGUGGGCGCUGGAGAACUGAGGGGGGCUGCUCCUAGUACGAGAGGACCGGAGUGGACGCAUCACUGGUGUUCGGGUUGUCAUGCCAAUGGCACUGCCCGGUAGCUAAAUGCGGAAGAGAUAAGUGCUGAAAGCAUCUAAGCACGAAACUUGCCCCGAGAUGAGUUCUCCCUGAGACUUAGAGUCUCCUGAAGGAACGUUGAAGACGACGACGUUGAUAGGCCGGGUGUGUAAGCGCAGCGAUGCGUUGAGCUAACCGGUACUAAUGAACCGUGAGGCUUAACCUU
Molecule: ribosomal RNA, 2801 nt
Filed under: Salmonella enterica subsp. enterica serovar Choleraesuis
Lineage: Bacteria; Pseudomonadati; Pseudomonadota; Gammaproteobacteria; Enterobacterales; Enterobacteriaceae
Description: partial 23S ribosomal RNA
Rfam family: Bacterial large subunit ribosomal RNA
Source: RNAcentral